RNAcentral lists this long non-coding RNA (216 nucleotides) under Brassica napus (rape). RNAcentral describes it as "long non-coding RNA (BNAP_LNC024417)". Lineage: Eukaryota; Viridiplantae; Streptophyta; Magnoliopsida; Brassicales; Brassicaceae. The record is from RNAcentral.
AAAAAAAGGAUCAUCCUCGUACUAGCCUAAUAAGGAUGAGAACCCCAAGACUUCCGUGUGCAGGACUGCAAGCAAGAGUUGUCAUCGACUAAGAGCAUCCGCCACCCUGUUAGCAGAUCCGGCCGUGUGUUUGAUCACAAAGGUGAAUUGUUGGAGGUAUGCAAUCCACGAUGCAUGACGAGAAGAGACUUUACUCUGGCUGUGAAGAUGCUUUAC